RNAcentral lists this ribosomal RNA (253 nucleotides) under uncultured bacterium. Its description in RNAcentral is "partial 16S ribosomal RNA". It matches the Rfam family "Bacterial small subunit ribosomal RNA", at positions 524 to 776 of the family's 1533-position model. The record is from RNAcentral.
UACGAAGGGGGCUAGCGUUGCUCGGAAUCACUGGGCGUAAAGCGCGUGUAGGCGGCCCUGUAAGUCGGGUGUGAAAUCCCACGGCUCAACCGUGGAAGUGCAUUCGAAACUACAGGGCUAGAGUUCUGGAGAGGAAGGUGGAAUGCUUGGUGUAGAGGUGAAAUUCGUAGAUAUCAAGCGGAACACCGGUGGCGAAGGCGGCCUUCUGGACAGUAACUGACGCUGAGACGCGAAAGCGUGGGGAGCAAACAGG